Molecule: ribosomal RNA, 492 nt
Filed under: uncultured bacterium
Lineage: Bacteria
Description: partial 16S ribosomal RNA
Rfam family: Bacterial small subunit ribosomal RNA
Source: RNAcentral
AGUGAACGCUGGCGGUAGGCCUAACACAUGCAAGUCGAACGGCAGCACAGUAAGAGCUUGCUCUUACGGGUGGCGAGUGGCGGACGGGUGAGGAAUACAUCGGACUCUACUUUUUCGUGGGGGAUAACGUAGGGAAACUUACGCUAAUACCGCAUACGACCUACGGGUGAAAGCAGGGGAUCUUCGGACCUUGCGCGAUUGAAUGAGCCGAUGUCGGAUUAGCUAGUUGGCGGGGUAAUGGCCCACCAAGGCGACGAUCCGUAGCUGGUCUGAGAGGAUGAUCAGCCACGCUGGAACUGAGACACGGUCCAGACGCCUACGGGAGGCAGCAGUGGGGAAUACUGGACAAUGGGCGCAAGCCUGAUCCAGCCAUACCGCGUGGGUGAAGAAGGCCUUCGGGUUGUAAAGCCCUUUUGUUGGGAAAGAAAAGCAGCAGGUUAAUACCCCGCUGUUCUGACGGUACCCAAAGAAUAAGCACCGGCUAACUUCGUG